Molecule: ribosomal RNA, 494 nt
Filed under: uncultured bacterium
Lineage: Bacteria
Description: partial 16S ribosomal RNA
Rfam family: Bacterial small subunit ribosomal RNA
Source: RNAcentral
GACGAACGCUGGCGGCGUGCUUAACACAUGCAAGUCGAACGGUGAAGCGCCUUCCUUUUUGGUGGGUGUGGAUGAGUGGCGAACGGGUGAGUAACACGUGAGUAACCUGCCCCCUUCUUCUGGAUAACCGCAUGAAAGUGUGGCUAAUACGGGAUAUUCUGGGUCUGUGGCAUGAUGGGUCUGGGAAAGAUAUUGUUUCGGUGGGGGAUGGGCUCGCGGCCUAUCAGCUUGUUGGUGGGGUGAUGGCCUACCAAGGCGGUGACGGGUAGCCGGCCUGAGAGGGUGGACGGUCACACUGGGACUGAGACACGGCCCAGACUCCUACGGGAGGCAGCAGUGGGGAAUAUUGCACAAUGGGCGCAAGGCUGAUGCAGCGACGCCGCGUGAGGGAUGGAGGCCUUCGGGUUGUGAACCUCUUUCGCCAGUGAAGCAGGCCUGCCUCGUUUGUGGGUGGGUUGACGGUAGCUGGAUAAGAAGCGCCGGCUAACUACGUG